This 253-nucleotide ribosomal RNA is filed under the name uncultured Pasteuria sp. Its description in RNAcentral is "partial 16S ribosomal RNA". It matches the Rfam family "Bacterial small subunit ribosomal RNA", at positions 524 to 776 of the family's 1533-position model. Lineage: Bacteria; Bacillati; Bacillota; Bacilli; Caryophanales; Pasteuriaceae. The record is from RNAcentral.
UACGAGAGGCCCAAACGUUAUUCGGAUUUACUGGGCUUAAAGAGUUCGUAGGCGGCGCGGAAAGUGGGGUGUGAAAGCCCUCGGCUCAACCGAGGAAUUGCGCUCCAAACUCCCGUGCUCGAGGAACCUAGAGGUGAGCAGAACUGAUGGUGGAGCGGUGAAAUGCGUUGAUAUCAUCAGGAAUACCGGAGGCGAAGGCGGCUCACUGGGGGUUUUCUGACGCUGAGGAACAAAAGCCAGGGGAGCGAACGGG